GGAAAUCUUAUAAGUGGGGGAGGAUUGUAACACCGUGAAUUUUCUGUGUAUGUUUUAUUAAUUUUAUUUUAAGAACGAUUAAUUUUAGAAAUAAUUCAGUAUUGAAUUAGACUCAACCGUAGUUGAGUAUUAGUCUUUUUUUAUGAUUUCCUAUUUUUUGGUAAAUUUCCGUAAUUUUCUGUGAUGGAGAGUUUUUGAGCUGCUGUCGGGCCCAAAUUCGCCCGUAUGCGGCCCAAUAACGUGUUUUUGAGUUCUAUAACUCGGAAUCAAAUUUCGAUUGCGCCAUUGGCUUCGAAAUAUUAUUUCGAGUCAAGAUAGACACCAAGUUUGUUCAGAACACAUUUCUAAUUCUUUUUCACUUCGAAUUUCGUGUUUCAAAGUUGUAACCGUAAACCAAAAUCGGGAGAUUUUUAUUAUCCGAACGGGUAUUAGCCGACAAUACUCGGGAAUGGUUUAAUCGAGAAUGUGUCAUCGAAAAGGUCACAUCACUUUCAUGUAAGAAGCUUGCUUGUUAAACAAGCAAAAGUACAUAUUCUCUUACACAAAAUCCCCUAAAUCACUCAACAAAUCCUCUCACUCCACCACCAUUAGACACAUCACCUAUGCUAGUCUAAAUCUACUUACUUUGCAUUAAAUUUUCUGAUUUGAUGAGGGUGAGACUCUCCUAUAAAUACCUCACGUC
RNAcentral lists this long non-coding RNA (682 nucleotides) under Lupinus angustifolius (narrow-leaved blue lupine). RNAcentral describes it as "long non-coding RNA (LANG_LNC001856)". The record is from RNAcentral. Lineage: Eukaryota; Viridiplantae; Streptophyta; Magnoliopsida; Fabales; Fabaceae.